Molecule: ribosomal RNA, 253 nt
Filed under: uncultured bacterium
Lineage: Bacteria
Description: partial 16S ribosomal RNA
Rfam family: Bacterial small subunit ribosomal RNA
Source: RNAcentral
UACGAAGGGGGCUAGCGUUGUUCGGAUUUACUGGGCGUAAAGCGCACGUAGGCGGAUCGUUAAGUCGGGGGUGAAAUCCUGGAGCUCAACUCCAGAACUGCCUUCGAUACUGGCGAUCUCGAGUCCGGAAGAGGUGAGUGGAACUCCUAGUGUAGAGGUGGAAUUCGUAGAUAUUAGGAAGAACACCAGUGGCGAAGGCGGCAUCCUGGACCGGGAUUGACACUGAGGCGCGAAAGCCAGGGGAGCAAACGGG